Oreochromis niloticus (Nile tilapia) is the source of this 355-nucleotide long non-coding RNA. RefSeq lists it as uncharacterized. The record is from RefSeq and is a predicted model, not a curated record. NCBI's taxonomy places the organism in Eukaryota, Metazoa, Chordata, Actinopteri, Cichliformes, Cichlidae. The transcript is spliced from 3 exons.
UGGUGUGUGUAUUUAUAGUGUGUGUCAGUCUGUGCUCUAUGUCGCAUUGUCUGCUUUUCUCUGUGUUAACUGGUAUUCAGUCUGCGUCUCUGCCAACAGUCUCCGUGCAUUUUGCUCCUUCUCCCGUGUGUGUUUGGUUUCAGCCAGUACCUGCAUUUUGGAUCCUUUUCUCGAUACACCACACAACUGCUGCCCCAGCCGUGACAGAAAUGAAGCUUACAGGCCAGCUAAGGCAACAAAAACCUGGCUGUAUUCCUUCAUGGUGUAUCAAAAUGGCCAGAUAUUCAGUUCAACUGCCUGAGGACCAUCUCCCUGGUAAAGCUUGAAGCCUCCAUAUCCAUUAAAGCAAUAUUAG